GCGGCAGACCGAGGCGAUCGCGUUAGUCUUUGGACUACCGAGGAAAGUCCGGGCUCCUGCGGGCAAACGCAGCGGCUAACGGCCGUCCGCCGACAGCAAUGCUGGAAGGCGAGGAAUAGUGCCACAGAGACAAUGUAUAGAGACGCAAGUCUGCUAUAGUGAAAAGAGGUAAACUCUGCGCGGAGCAAGAGCAAAUAGGGAUGAGAGCGCCCGCCUCGUCACCAAUCCCGGGUUGCUUGCUUGAGCCUGACGGCAACGCCAGGCCUAGAUAAAUGAUCGUCUGCAAAACAGAACCCGGCUUACCAGUUUGCCGUAUUG
RNAcentral lists this RNase P RNA (318 nucleotides) under Candidatus Margulisiibacteriota bacterium. Its description in RNAcentral is "RNase P RNA component class A". It matches the Rfam family "Bacterial RNase P class A". From Rfam's summary of the family: Ribonuclease P (RNase P) is a ubiquitous endoribonuclease, found in archaea, bacteria and eukarya as well as chloroplasts and mitochondria. Its best characterised activity is the generation of mature 5'-ends of tRNAs by cleaving the 5'-leader elements of precursor-tRNAs. Cellular RNase Ps are ribonucleoproteins. The record is from RNAcentral. Lineage: Bacteria; Bacillati; Candidatus Margulisiibacteriota.